This 280-nucleotide ribosomal RNA is filed under the name uncultured bacterium. RNAcentral's name for it is "partial small subunit ribosomal RNA". It matches the Rfam family "Bacterial small subunit ribosomal RNA", at positions 26 to 282 of the family's 1533-position model. The record is from RNAcentral.
AGAAUCAACGCUGGCGGCGUGCCUCAGACAUGCAAGUCGAACGCGAAACCUUCCUUCGGGAGGGGAGUAGAGUGGCGCACGGGUGAGUAACACGUAGGUAAUCUACCUUUGGGUGGGGGAAUAACAGCCGGAAACGGCUGCUAAUACCGCAUAAUGCAGCGGCUCGACAUCGAGACAGUUGUUAAAGCGGGGGAUUGGAGCAAUCCGACCUCGCGCCUAAAGAGGAGCCUGCGGCAGAUUAGCUAGUUGGCAGGGUAAUGGCCUACCAAGGCGACGAUCU